Molecule: ribosomal RNA, 498 nt
Filed under: uncultured bacterium
Lineage: Bacteria
Description: partial 16S ribosomal RNA
Rfam family: Bacterial small subunit ribosomal RNA
Source: RNAcentral
GACGAACGCUGGCGGCGUGCUUAACACAUGCAAGUCGAACGGGCCUGUCUUCUUUUUUGGGGGUGGGUUGAGUGGCGAACGGGGGAGUAUCACGUGAGUAACCUGCCCUUCGGUCCUGGAUAACCGCUUGAAAGGGCGGCUAAUACGGGGUGGUCCGGUUGGUCCGCAUGGGCUGGUCGGGAUAGAUUCACUGUUUUUGGUGUUUCGGCGGGGGAUGGGCUCGCGGCCUAUCAGCUUGGUGGUGGGGUGAUGGCCUACCAAGGCGGUGACGGGUCGCCGGCCUGAGAGGGUGGGCGGCCACACUGGGACUGGGAUACGGCCCAGACUCCUGCGGGAGGCAGCAGUGGGGGUAUUGCACAAUGGGCGGAAGCCUGAUGCAGCGACGUCGCGUGAGGGAUGGAGGCCUUCGGGGUGUGAACCGCUGUUUCCGGUGGUGAAGGCCCUGUCCGUGUGGUGGGGUUGACGGUAGCCGGGGAUGAAGCGCCGGCUAACUACGUG